GCCGUGUGUGCGUGGCAGGUCUCUCCAAUGCAAGUGGUGGAGUCAGGAGAUGCCUCUGAAGGGAGCCAGCUCCUUCCCUCGGGGGGAGGCAGCCCAGGCCUGGAGCAGGCUCCAGGUGCAGGAAAAGCCGAGCAGAGCUGGGAGAUGCAGCCAGAGCAGGGGGAUGGAAGGACGAACAGCCCAGGGCUGAUGCUGGAAAUGCUCUCCCUGCUGCCUUCCUGCUUCUGGUGUGUGAGAAGAGCCUGUGCUGCCCGUGGGACUGGGGGAAAAAUCCUGCUGGAGGAGACAGAGGGAUCUCUGCUGUUACCCAGGCUGAGGAAAAGGACGUGGAGAGCAAUGGAGAGGAGUAUUUAUGAUGAUCACAAAGGAAAGAUCACAACACAUCCAGGCAAAAAAAAAGGAAGCCGGAGGAAUGAGCCGACCUACAGAUAAUAAGUAACAAAUCGGGAAAGGGAGGAAGAUAAUGGCUGUGAUUAGAAACGAGACACUGGGAAAUAAAGAACAAUGGAUGGGAGAAGCAAAAGUAUCCAUUUAAAAAAAAAAAAUCCAUAUCCAAAUGUGUUCUGGACAACAAGGAAACAUUUUAGAUUAGGCUGGAACAAAAGAAAUUCCAGCAAAAUUGCCGUGUUAUAGAUCCAGGUUUUGAUAGGGGCAGGAAUGCCAUCAAUAACGAUGCAGAUGAUGCAGAAGAGCCCAAAACCUGCUCUGGGAAACAAUGAAGGGAACAGAUUUCCAGCCCUCAUCCCCCAGCAUUUUCCAUCCCAAUGGCAGCAGCUCCCAAAUUGUUCGCAGCUUAAAAGCUGUGAAGCCGCAAGCUUAAUUAAGCGCAAUAAUUAUUAAUUUUUAAAAGCUUGCAAUUAAUUUUUAAACCAGUUUUCACCUGCAAGAUCAGCCAAGUUGUUUGGAAAUUUGUGGAGGGAAGCCACUAAAUAUUUUACAAGAAUAAAGCUGGUGUCAGGGCGCUGUUAAGAGGGUGAAAAACGGGACUGGGCACCAGCUGGAGGUGCCACUGUCCCCUAAAGCUUCUCCCCCUCCUUCCUCCCUGCUCCCCUCUAUCUUAGGCUGGGUCUAUCCUAUAAACCCCUCCUCUGUUUUCCCCUUGGAAUCAAACCUAUUUUUUUAGAAGCUGGGGAAUAAAAAGUGUUUCCAAAAGCAUUCUGUGAUCCUGGGGUUUUUUCUCUGCUGCUGGAGUUGAUUGUCCUUGUUACUCCAGGAGAAGUUUGGAGCUGUUUAAUUUGUUGGCUCGCAACAGGUGGAAGGGGAUGCAGAAGGUUUGAUGCAGGAUUUGUGGGAU
This 1294-nucleotide long non-coding RNA is filed under the name Corvus moneduloides (New Caledonian crow). Its description in RNAcentral is "lncRNA (ENSCMUG00000017104.1)". The record is from RNAcentral. Lineage: Eukaryota; Metazoa; Chordata; Aves; Passeriformes; Corvidae.